UCUCACAGAUAAUCAGUGARAUUGAKCCCYUCGUGCRAAAGCGAGRRUAUAAAUAUAAGACGAGAAGACCCUGUGGRRCUUAAAAUAAAACAUCAACCGACACCCAAUACACCCCAAAUGGGAUACAAACUACUAAAUACCUGAUGUACAUUUUUGGUUGGGGCGACCUCGGAGCANAACAGAACCUCCGAAAAAAGARCACASUSCCUACUUAGACAAACAACUCAAAGUGCCCACAGCAAAAUGAUCCAAUUUAUUUGAUCAACGAACCARGCUACCCCAGGGAUAACAGCGCAAUCCCGUUACRGAGUCCCUAUCGAAGACGGAGUUUACGACCUCGAUGUUGGAUSAGGACAUCCUAAUGGUGCAACAGCURUUAAGGGUUCGUUUGUUCAACGAUUAAAGUCCCACGUGAUCUGAGU
This 422-nucleotide ribosomal RNA is filed under the name Amyda cartilaginea (black-rayed soft-shelled turtle). Its description in RNAcentral is "partial 16S ribosomal RNA". It matches the Rfam family "Bacterial large subunit ribosomal RNA", at positions 2021 to 2610 of the family's 2925-position model. Lineage: Eukaryota; Metazoa; Chordata; Testudines; Trionychidae. The record is from RNAcentral.